AGUUUGCGAAAGUCGUCCGCCAGGCCCAGACCGCUGGAUAGGAGGCUCUUGGCCGGGCCGGGGGCUGGGGGCCGGGAUGGCAGAGGGGGCCCUAGCUGCGCCCCGCCGCGCUGGGCCCUCGUCUCCGGGUGCUCUCAACCCUCAUACAGGCCCUUAGCCGUUCUCCUAGGGACCCUGCCCGGACAGGAGGAAAGGUUUCCGGCCCAUGGAGUUUAGUCUCAUUACAAAAGCAAAACAAGAAUAAGACUUACCAAGUUGCUUGCCGUUGGGGCUGAGGUCCAAGGAGGUGAUCGCAGCUUUGUGGCCUUUGAAAUAACGCUCCAGAACGGGGUCCUCCUGGAAAGGAAAGUUGUCAAGUUUUGAAAGCCGCCGCAGACCUCGAAUUCUGGCGGCUGGGAUCCACGCUGCCACUUCCCCGGAGUCCGGCUUGGGAAUGGCCACCCAGGCGGCGGCUUGGCUGGGCGGCGGGGCCGGGCAGCAGCCCACCCACGGGCGCGGCGCCCAGUCCUGCUACAGGGAGACGCCGGCGCCAGCUCUCCCCGCAGAGCCCGCAAAACGCUCUGUUCGCGCUUCCCAGAGUCCAGCGCAUCGCAGGAACCGCGGCCCCUUUGAAAUGCACGUUCCCGGGCCCCGCCCGCUGGCCCAAGGCAGGCAGGUGCGAGGAUGCGCCUCGGCUUUGGUACUUUUUUUUUUUUUAAUACUUCCUAGGUGAUUCUGACGCAGGCGCUCCACGGAAACCCUCCGAGAAUUCUGGGGGCCGUGGGGCCGCCCAGCUCAGUCCGGAGCUCCGGAACUCGGGGAAGAGCGUCCGGGAGCCGGGUCUGGGUUCCGCACUCCGUCCGCCCCGAUGGCAGAGAGUGAGAUACGGACGCCCCGGGACGAGGGGCUCAGGACCCGGCUACGGACACCUGCCUCCAUCUCCCUCCAGGUGCGGCUUCGGCCCGGACCUGGCCCCGCAGCCCGCGGGACAGGCUCCAGGGAGGGACCCCCCCCACCUCCAACCCGUCCUUACCGUGGCUGAGGCCAUCGGGGGAGUGGUCGGCCCAAGGCUCCUGUGGGUGGGGGAACCCGGAGAGGGGAGGGGAGAGGAUGGGGAAGGAGAGGGGACCGUGCGGCUCCCGGAACCGUCUGCCCAGAGCGGCAGCGCCUCCCGGUCACUACAACAACGGCGGCCCAGUCAAACCCCGCGCUCCAGGCAUGGCCAGCCGAGCCCCGAGACACCGCCAGCCCUGUAAAGAGAGGACGGGAGGUAUGCGCCGGGUCAGCUGUGGCCACACACCAAGCCAUGUUAACUAACACUCGCGUUCUCCCUGGUUUGAUGUCAGGAAGUGGGGUAGUAACCAGGACUGGAAUAAGAGCGAUGAAUGGAAGGGCGUUGUGAGCCUGUGAUCGAUGCGAUCAGAGUUCUAUUACGUUUUAAAGAGACAGCACCCGUGACGUUUAAGGUAUUUCACCCCAAUAAUAAAAUAAUAAUGCCAGAAGCUGAAGAGUAAUCAGGACCUCAGGAUUACUCAUAGGUAUGUUACGUCUAAUAUUGGGCACAGGAGAAGCAGAAAAGGGAAGAAGUUGGAGAUUUAGAAACUAGCUCACAAGAAGAAAAAAUAUAGAUUUUUAUUUAAGUGUUUUAGUAAAAGUUUAGCUUUUACUUUUUUUCUCAAUUAUCAAGAAACACAUGUUUUAAAUUUAAAAGAUGGGAGGGAAACUACAUAUUAAUCCUAUUACCUAAAGUUGAUCUUAAAAAAUUUGUCACCUACUGAUAUGGUUUGGAUUUGUGUCCCCACCCAACUGUCAUGUAGAAUUGUAAUCCCCAGUGUUGGAGGAGGGGGCUGGUGGGAGGUGAUUGGAUCAUGGGGGUGGAUUUCUCCCUUGCUGUUCUGAGUGAGUUAUCACGAGAUCUGGUUGUUUAAAAGUGUGUAGCACUUCCCCCUUUGCUCUCUUCCUCCUGCUCCAGCCAUGGAGCAGCCAUGCUCUCUUCCCCUUUGCCUUCCACCAUGUUUGUAAGUUUCCUGUGGCCUCCCCAGCCAUACUUCCUGUACAGCCUGCAGAACCAUGAGCCAAUUAAACCCGCUUUUUUUGUAAAUUACCCAGUCGCAGGUAGUUCUUCAUAGCAAUGUGAGAACGGACUAAUAUACCUACCUAUGUUUUCACUACAUGCCAGGACUUUUCUAAGUACCUUACAAAUUUUGACAUUUAGUGAUCAUAACGAUCUUAUUAGAGAUGUGCUAUUAUUACCAUUUCCGUUUUAUAGAUGAGUAAAUUGAUAUGCAAAGACAUUAAGUUACUUGCCCAAGGCACACUGCUAACUAGGAAGUGGCAGAGUUGAGAUUUUUAGACACUCGCAGUCUGCCUCCAGAAUCCACUCUCUCUUUUUUUUUUUUUUUUUUGAGACGGAGUCUCACUCUGUCGCCCAGACUGGAAUGCAGUGGCGCGAUCUCGGCUCACUGCAAGCUGCUCCGCCUCCCAGGUUCACGCCAUUCCCCUGCCUCAGCCUCCCGAGCAGCUGGGACUACAGGCGCCCGCCACCAAGCCCGGCUAAUUUUUUUUGUAUUUUUUUUUUAAUAGAGACUGGUUUUCACCGUGUUAGCCAGGAUGGUCUCAAUAUCCUAACCUCGUGAUCCGCCUGUCUCGGCCUCCCAAAGUGCUGGGAUUACAGGUGUGAGCCACCUCACCUGGCCCAGAAUCCACUCUCUUAAUCACUGUCAUGACUUUUGUGUGAUUGCAAGUGUUAUGUAAAUGUAUAAAACAUUGCAUUCUUGCCAAGGUUUAUAAUAAUAAGUUUUACAAAAUGAAAGUAAUAUCUCCUUUAUUUUCAUUCCACUGUCCUCAUUUAUUACUCUAAACUGCCCUUCCCAUUGUUCUUUUCCAUAGUAUUUGAUUUUGUUCUUUUCGGCUUUUCUUCACCUUUGCAAAUAGCAAAAGCUCAGAGGUAGACAAUUGGAAAUGUGGUCAAAGUUGGGGAAGUUUUUUCUAACCUCAAGCCUAAUUCCACUUGCUACAAUGAUUAUUUAGACCUCUCUGGACUGCAACCUAAUCAUUUAUGUGGGUGGGAGCCACAAGCAGGAUCAGUAUUUAAAAACCUACAAGGUUUUACUGGAGGCCGGGUACUAGCUAGGACAAACUGACCUCUAAUUAGCCCUUCUUAUACAGUUCCCCCUAAAACAGAAAUUGAAUGUACUUACUUGAGCAUUAUAAAGAGUUAUUUUUAUUUUAGCACUGGUUCUUCCUUGGCCUUCAAAUUUGGAAAUUCAGCAUAGUACAAAAGUGCCAUCUACUGUUCACCUUACUAUAUAGCACUUGGAGUGAACAUAUUUUGAGCCUGUUUACAGGCAAUGGAACUCCCUUGUUGAUACACUUCCUCCAAAGUAUAGGAGAGCACAUGGAAAAGUACAAGAUGGGUUUGAAUCAAUAAUGAAUUACAUUUUUGAAAACUGCAUGAUUCAUUUAAGUUAACAUUCAGUCUCCAAGUCCUAUCAACUACCUCCUCACCAUAUAUAUAUAUAUAAUAUAUAUGAUGGGCUGCCCAGGCUGGCCUUGAACUCCUGAGUUCAAGUGAUCCACCUGCAGCAGCCUCCCAGGUAGCUGGGAUUACAAGCAUGCUCCUCAUCAUAUAUUUUAUCUUCCUAUCUUUCUGUCUAAUGGCUCCUGUCACUCCACAGACCCUGCCUUCUGCCUCCUAGAAUAUUUUAGUAACCACCAACUUGCUUUCUGACUUCAAAACUUCUCCCCUCCACCUGUCCACCCUGCAUUUACCAACAAAUAACAUAAGAUUCACCAGGGUAUCUUGCUAAAAGUAAAUGUUUUUAGGCCUCACCCCAGAGGUUUUGAUUUAGAAGGUCUAGUGUGAAUACUAGAAAUCUGUUUUCAAACAAGCUUUCUAGGUGAUUAUAAUAUGCAUCAACAUUUGGGAACCACUGGCAUAUCAUGCCAUAGAUCUUUAAAAUGCACUUUAAGUUCACUUUUAAAUGCCUCAAACCAAGUCCUAUUUUAUAUCUAACCACUCAUCUCCCCUGGGCCAAUCCUUAAGCCAUUGCAGUUAACCACACACACCCACCCUUUGGAGCCUUUGCUAGAGCGGUUUCUGUACUCAUGAAUGCCUGUGCUACUCUCUUGCUCCAACUUCUACACAAAGAAACAUACCUCAGGACUUGGGAAGAUAUGUUCAUGUAAAAUCAUCUUUCUCUGAACCUAUUCCUCCUUAUAAAAAUAAAACAUUAUUUUUCCUUUGGGUCCUGAUGGUAUGAAACUUAGAGUUCUUUUUAGCACUAUUUUAUGUUGCUGCCUUUACAUCUACAUCAUGUUUAUGUGUCUAUCAGCACUUAACUGUAGUGAAAGGUCAGUAAAGAUAAGAACUGUGUUCUACUCAUUUUAGUAUCACUCUACAGGCACCACAAUCCCUGACACAUAGUAGGGGCAUAAUAAACAUUUUCUGCAUUGAUUGAAAGAUGACAGUGUGGCUGGCCAGCUCUAUAGUUACUGAAAAAGUCUACAAAAUAAAUAGAAAACAUGAUCAUUGUCCUCCAAUAAUUUAAAGUAUCUUGUAAUUUUAUCGAUACACUCUAUUUGUACAUUAUGGGGUACAUGUGAAAUUUUGUUGCAUGCAUAAAAUGUAUAAUGAUCAAGUCAGCGCAUUUAGGGUAUCCAUCACCUAAGGAUUUAUCAUUUCUAUAUGUCAGGUACAUUUCAAAUUUUCUAGCCAUUUUGGUACAGUGCAUUAUUGUUGUGUAUAGUCACCUGAUUCUGCUAUCAAAUAUUAGAACUUAUUUCUUCUAUCUAACUGUAUGAUUGUACCUGUUAACCAACCUGUCUUCAUUUCCCCCUCCCACCCACACAUCCUUCACAUUCUCUGGGAGAAAGAGAAUUAUCAUUCCACUCCUCUCUAUCUCCAUGCGAUCAACUUUUUUAGCUCUCAUAUAUUAAUGAGAACGUGUAAUAUUUAUCUUCCUGUGCCUGACUUAUUUCACUUAACAUAGUGUUCUCCAGUUUUAUUAAUGUUCCUGCAAAUGACAUGAUUUCAUUCUUUUUCAUGGUUGAAUAGUAUUCCAUUGUGUGUGUGUAUAUAUAUAUAUAUGUGUGUGUGUGUGUGUGUGUGUGUAUGUGUGUAUAUAUAUAUACACACACAUAUAUAUAUAUAUAUAUAUAUAUCACAUUUUCUUUAUCCAUUCAUCCAUUGAUGGGGAUGCUUAGGUCAAACAGCUUAAAAUCUAAUUAGGGAAACAGGACUCACCACAUGAAACAAUCAAUGAAAGUUAUGUGGAGCAGUAGGUCAAUCAUAACCAUGGGAAUGUUACAAAAUAUCUGUAUAAUAACCAUAGUAUUGUAUUUCUAUAGUGUCAAAUGUACUUAAGACAUUUGAUUGGUCUUUGGAAAUGUUUUUGUAUCAGGAAAGACUUAUAGGGGAAGAAGGACUUCAAUUGUGAUUUUUUAAAGUGGUAGAAUUAGUGGAUUAAUGAUUGCCAGAGACUAGGGGGAGGAAAGAAUGGGGAGGGAUUACUAAUGAAAAAAUGGAAUCUUUUUAGGGUGAUGAAAAUGUUCUGGAAUUAGUGGUGAUAGGUUUACAACUUCAAAGUACUAAAGACUACUGAUUUUUAUACUUAAAGCCACUAGAUCAAUGGUUCUCAAACCUUAGCGGGGAUCAGAGUCACCCAAAGCACUUGAUAUAAUGCAGAUUCCACUCCAGAGUUUCUGUUUCAGUCUGUCUGGAUUGUGGCACAAGAAUUUACAUUUAUAAUAAGUACAGGUUCCUAGGUAUGAUGCUUAUGCUGACAGUGAACCAUCCUGUAACAAUCAGCAGAGUAAACAAAAAGGUAGUAAGGAGAGAGACAGAAAGUGGAAUGGGCCGGGCGCGGUGGCUCACGCCUGUAAUCCCAGCACUUUGGGAGGCCGAGGUGGGUGAAUCACCCGAGGUCAGGAGUUCGAGACCAGCCUGGCCAACAUGACGAAACCCCAUCUCUACUAAAAAUACAAAUAUUAGCUGGGCGCAGUGGUGGGCACCUGUAAUCCCAGCUACUCGGGAGGCUGAGGCAGGAGAAUUGCUUGAACCCGGGAAGCAGAGGUUGCAGUGAGUGGAGAUCAUGCCAUUGCACUCCCGCCUGGGUGACAGAGCAAGACUCUGUCUCAAAAAAAAAAAAAAAAAAAAAAAAGGAAAGUAGAAUGGUGUUUGCCAUUUGCCAGGGGCUGUGGGGAGAGAGCAUGGGGAAUUAUUGUUUAAUGGGUGCGUGGAGUUUCAGUUUGUGAAACUGAAAAAGUUCUGGAGAUGGACUGUGGUGAUGGUUACAAAACAAUGUGAAUAUAUGUAAUAUAAUUGGACUAUAUACACUUAUAAAUGGUUACAUGGUAAAUGUUAUGUGUAUGUUACUUCAAUGAAGAACAUAGGGGUAAACUGUUGAAAGAAUGCACAUUAGUAAAGGCAUCACAGUCAUGGGAUGAACUUCAGUACAAUGGAAGCCUGGUUCCUUACAGGACUGUACUGGUACGUGGCCCAGGGGUUGGGAAUCCCUGUCCUAGACCACUAUAUUUGCUGUGGCUCUGCCUUCCAGUCAUUUUCUAUCCCAUUAUUGUGUUUUACUUUCUUCAUAGCACUUGCUAGUUCUUCCACCAUGAAUGCUCUUCCCCCAAAUGGAAGGCACUGCAAGAAUUGACAGAUUCUGGCAUUAUUGGAGUAGCAGCAGUAGAAACAUAAAGAGAUAUUUGUUUAGGUAUGGCAUAAUUAAAAUGAACAGGGGAAGGGGGGCCAGGAAAAAAAACCCAGAAACACUUAGAUGCUGUCCUUGGUCCUGAACCAGCAGUACCUGGUGAAUGGCUAUCUUACUUAUCCCAAGAAUCUGGUAACUUCUCUUCUAGGGCUUAGACUUUCAUUUUUACCCUUUUACCAAAAAAAAAAAAAAAAAAAAAAAAAAAAAAAAAAAAAAAAAAAGGGCUGUAGCUUUUAGUGUCUCCAAAAAGUCAAAUCAUGGUAAUAAUUUACAAUUUACCUAGCCAAUUCCAUGUAGUUUGACAGUUGUAAUAGGUUUCUACUUAGAAAAAUUUUUCUGUUCCCACUAGAAAGAAAAGAGGGUACAUUCCCCCAUUCCCUCUCCAUCUCAAUCCUAAGAUUAUGCAUUUGUGAUGUGAAGCAUCACUCAGACCUUCCAAGUGACUGUAGUGAGAGAGAUGAGGGCAAGAUGGAACUGAUGAUGGCUAGCAGGUCUUGGCUAAGAUGUCACUCCUCAAAGAGGCUUCCUAAAGUCCCCAACCUUUAUGGCACCAGGGACCAAUUUCAUGGAAGACAGUUUUUCCAUAGAUAGGGGAAUGAGGGGGAGGGAUGGUUUCAGGAUAAAAGUGUUCCAGCUCAGAUCAUCAGGCAUUAGAUUCUCAUAAGGAACGCACAACCUAGAUCCCUGCAUGUGCAUUUCACAAUAGGGUUCACACUCCUGUGAGAAUGUAACACCUCUGCUGAUCUGACAGGAGAGAGAGCUCAGGCCAUAAUGCUGGCUCUCUCGCCUGCUGUUCACCUCCUGCUCUUCAGCCUGGUUCCUAACAGGCCAUGGACCGGUACCGGGUACAUGGCCCAGGGGUUAGGGAUCCCUGUCCUAGGCCACUCUAUUUGCUGUGGCUCUGCCUUCCAGUCAUUUUCUAUCCCAUUACUGUGUUAUACUUUUUUCACAGCCCUUGCUAGUUCCUCUGCCAUGAAUGCUCUUCUCCCAAAUCUUUUCAAGACUCACUUCUUUCAUUUCACUUAGUUCUUACCACAUUUUCAAAAUAAGCACUUCCUUUCAUUCUCUAUAACAUUACACUUGUAUUUUUCUUCAAACACAUAUCCCUCCCAGGUAAAAAAGGACAAACAAUUUUGAUAGACAUUUCACCAAAAAGUUAUAUAAAUAGCCAGUAAGCAUAUGAAAAGAUGCCCAACAUCAUUAGGCAAUAGGGGAAAUAUAAAUCAACAUCACAAAACCUACUUCAUACCCACUGUGAUAGCUAUAAUCAAAUAGCCUGAUAAUAGUAAGUGUUGGUGAGGAUGUAAAGGAAUGGAAACCCUCAUAAAUUGCUGGUGGGAAUGUAAAAUUGUAUAGCUCUUUACACAGGAAUGGAAUUGCUGAGCCCUAUGGUAAUUCUUUUGACUUCUUGAAUUUGGGAGUUCCUUUAAAAGUUAAACAUAGGGUUACCCUAUCAGCCAGCAAUUCCACUCCUAGGUAGGUACCCUUGAUAAUUGAAUACAUAUGUCCACACAAAAACGCAGACACAAAUGUUCAUAGCAGCAUUACUCACAAUAGCCAAAAGUGGAAACAAUCCAAAUGUCUAUCGACUGAUUAAUGGGUAAAUAAAAUGUGCUGCAUCCAUACACAUUUAUAUGCCUGGCAAAUAAAAGGAAUGAAGUACUGAUUCAUGCUACAGUGUGGAUGAAACUUGAAAACACUAUGCUAAGUAAAGAAGCCAGACACAAUGUAUGGUUCCAUCCAUAUAAAAUGUUCAGAAUAGCCAAAUCCAUAGAGACAGAAUAUGGAUUGUGUGCCAGGGACUGGUUUCUUCUUGGGGUGAUAAAAUAUUCUGGAAUUAUAUAGUGGUGACAGUUCUGCAACUUGAUAAAUGUACUAAUAAACCACUGAUUUUUAUACUUAAAAAUAAUAAGAUUUUUUUUAAAAAAAGCAAGCAUAAACAACCACUUAUCUCUCCCUGAAAUAUACAUUCUCUAUGAGUAAUCCCCAUGAGAAUGAGGGCAAAACCCUCAGAGGGAGUAUGUCAGAAUCACUUGUGGGACCAUCACCAGGAUAUAAACUCCAUGAGGGCAGAGACAUUCUCUUUUUAAUCCACCAUAUAUCAGAACAAUGACUGGCACAUAGUAGGUACCCAAUAAAAUUUUGUGACUUAAUGAGGGAAUAAAAGAGGAAGAGAUAAUAUCUGUGUAAAACAAUUAGAGGAUUUUUUAAAAUCUUAAAAGUCUUCACUGUGUAUUACAAUAGAAUUGUGAUUUUAGUAGAAGGAAACUAGAUUCUUUUAAAGAUUGGUUCUUCUAUCUAAAAAGAAAAUUCCAAAUCUCAACAGUGUCUAACAUAAUAUAAGAAUAUAUUUUAAACUUGGCCACCCUAGGGUUUCUUCUCAAUUAUAAAAACUACUGUAGUUUACUUCAUUUAGUGAUUUUUUUUUUUUUUUUUUGAGACAGAGUCUUGCUCUGUCGUCCAGGCUGGAGUGCAGUGGUGUGAUCUCGGCUCACUGCAACCUCCACCUCCUGGGUUCAAGCUAUUCUCUGCCUCAGCCUCCUGAGUAGCUGGGACUACAGGUGCGCGCCACCAUGCCCAGCUAAUUUUUGUAUUUUUUAGUAGAGAUGGGGUUUCACCAUGAUCACCAGGAUGGUCUUGAUCUCUUGACCUCGUGAUCUGCCCACCUCGGCCUCCCAAAGUGUUGGAAUUACAGGUGUGAGCCACCAUGCCCAGCCCUCCAUUUAGUGAUCUUAUACAGAGCCAUUUUCGUUGUAUUUAUUUUAUUGAGAAAACAGCUUUUAUUCUAUAACCUUGUAACCUUGCUCACUAAUUGGUGGCCCACUGACUGAAACAAGUCCACUGAUAUGUUUUGUUUGGUCAUUAAUGUGUUCAAACAUUCUUUAAAAUUUAAACUCCUAUAGGUGAGCCAAAUAUUCAAUUUGACUCAGUACACUUCCUUGUGUUAUUUUUGUACAUGGUCUGAUUCACAGGCAUAAAUGAUCUCCCUGGCCCUUUGUAUCAGUCACGAAGGUCUAAGUUUUGCUGCUGAAACAACCCCCAAAUCUCAGUGGCUUAAAAUAAGGAAGUCUUCUAUUUUCUGCUCGCAUUAUGUUGCCAUCAGAAGUCAACUAAGGGCUCAACUCUCAGGUCCUUGUUAUCCUCACUUCAGGACAUAGGCUGUCAGCGAAGCCACUGUCAGAAACAUUAUUGGUGACUGGCAGCUGGAAAAGAGCAGAUGAUGCCCACGAUGGCUUUCUAAGAUUUCCUUGACCAAGGAAAGUCACAUAUCUGGUAGAGACAUAUAAUUCUUCCCCAUGAAGAAAGUUGUGGAAAGUUAUACAGUCUAACACUUGGAGGAAUUUGGAUUGAAUAUUGAAUGCAGUUCAAUAUCAAGACCUUUUCUACAUGAAAAUCAAGAAAUGUUUGUCAGUUUUUCAAGCAUUUGUAUUCCCCAACACACGUGAAGGUUAAUGCACUCAGAGCUUUGAUUCUCAGUUGAGGCCACACACCCCUGGAUGAGGUGAGUGAUGGGUCAUAAUCUUUAUUUUGUUUUGGGGACAGAGAUUGAAGGCAGAAAACAUAGGCUUGAGUUUUAUUUUUUAUUUAUUUUUAUUUUUAAACUAUUUUAGAAAUGGAGUCUUACUAUGUUGGCCAGGCUGGAGUGCAGUGUCUAUCCACAGGUGCUCUCAUAGCACAUUGUAGCCUUGAACUUCUGGGCUCAAGUGAUCCCCCUACUUCAGCCUCUGGUGUAGCUGGGACUACAGACAUGAACCACCAUGCCUGGCUUGAGAUUUUAUUUUAUUUUUAAAUAAAGGCCCCACAGGUGAUUCUGGCAUAUUGCUCCAAGAUGUUGUGUCCUCAUUCCCACAAGGAUUACUGAUUUAGAGGCUCACAGCUUUCUGAGAAUGCCAGAUUCAGAUAAAUAACUAAAGAUCAGAAUGAAAACAUUACAACCCAGACAUCAAUGAUCAAUAAAGGAUUCAGCUAUGCUGUUAGUGAAAAAGUUAAGUACUAGCACAUUUUCAAGUUAAGAUGAAUAAGUAAUUGGGAAAAGAGAGGAGACUGGAAAUUUCCAUUAAUUUCCAUAAAAUAAGUGACAUUCAUUUUAGAAGUUAGCACCGCAGAGGUAAUGUAGAUAUUAUUACCAUCUCCUCCCUGACAGAUAGUGUUUAUUACAAGUUAGAGCUAUAUCCCUCCAUCUCCUGACCUUCCUAAGGUUUAGGUAAACACUCUUAUCAAAAGAGGGAGAAGGAACACAGGUCAGAGGGCGGUGUCGUGGUGUCUUUGCUUCUCCAGCCUCACAGACCUAGUCUGAAUCUCAUGGAGAGAAAGGACUCAGGAAGCAGCAGAAGUAGCAGGUUUUUAAAUUGAGUCUGGUGAGACAGUUGGGCACAGGCUGCUAUGCUUGUGUAACCUGGAGGCAAAGUAGGAAACAGAUUGGCAGAGGAGUCAUCCUUCUUCCAGGACUGCAUAGACCAGAGCAUGGUGUGAACACAGUGAGGACCACAAAGACUUUGCCUUGCUGGAUUGUAGUGAAUUACCCAAUUCAACAGAGUAAUUUAAAUGAAUGAUUCUCAACCAGGGACAAGUUUUCCCACAUGGGACAUUUGGCAAUGUCUAGAGACACUUAUGGUUAUCACAAGUAAGAGUGUAGGUGCUACUGGCAUCUGGUGGAUGGAGAUCAGGGAUGCUGCUAAACAUCCUACGAUGCACAGAACAGCCUUCAAAACAAAGAGCCAACCCCAAAUGUCAAUAAUACUGAUAUAAGAGGCCCAUAUUUAAAUGAAAGCACUUAGUACAGUGCCUGGCAUUUGUUAAAUGCUUAAUAAAUGUUGAUUCACCAUGGGUUGAUCUCCUGGUGUCCAUAAGGUUUUAAAUAAUUGUCAAUACCCUAAAAUUAACCAUAUAUAGUAUACCCAGAUUUCUCCAUUACAAGAUGUACUUUUUCAAAAUCACUUUUUAAAUUUCUUGAAUUGGCGUGAGAUGUAAUAAUUGAUAUAUUUUCCCCUAAGAAGCUGUUAUCAAAUCUCAAAUCAUGGUGCAUGUCAGUUGAUGGCAUCUUAAAGUCCUGAAAAAGGGCCAGGAGCUGUGGCUCAUAUCUGGAAUCCCAGCACUUUGGGAAGCUGAGGCAGGCAGAUCACUUGAGGCCAGGAAUUCAAGACCAGGCUGGUCGACAUGGCAAAACCCCAUCUCUACUAAAAAUACAAAAAAUUAAUCAGGUGUGGUGGCAUGCACCUGUAGUCGCAGCUAUUCGGGAGGCUGAGGCAUGAGAAUCAAUUGAACCCAGGAGGUGGAGGUUGCAGUGAGCCGAGAUGGCGAGAUGGUGCCACUGCACUCCAGCUUAGUUGACAGAUGAGAUUCUGUCUAAAAAAACAAAAACAAAAACAAAAAAAAGCCUCUUGAAAAAGCUAUGCUUCUAGGCUUCUAUUACCUUUAUUAGAAGAGGCAUUUUCAAAAUACUACCUGGGAAUGUGACGAAGUAACCUAUUCGUAUAUUAGCUGACUUGUUAUCACCAGUUACAUAAUUUUAAUCGACUGUUCUGCUGCUGACUAAUACUGCUGUCAAAUUCUGCACAUAUUAAUCUUUCUCUGUGAUGAAUAUUCAGAACAAAAGAAAAUAAAAAACAUUAACUUUGGUAGAAAUCCUAGAGAGCAAGCGUUUCUCCUUCCUUUUAGAGAUGAGAAAUCAAAGGUUCAUGAAGGCGUAUUAACUGGCUCAACUGUAUUCAGCUAGUCAGCAGUAAAGCCACGCCUAUUAAGUCAAGGGUCCAGAAUUCCAGCUCAGAUCUGCUCCUCAGAUAAUUGCAAAUGUGUACUCUUUAUUCAAGUUGCGCUCAGCAAGAGGUUGUUACUCUUUAUUCAUCUAUGUGACUAGUGAUAUUUUCUAUGGAAUAUGAUUUUGGUCUUCAGGCUAUGUUUAUAUAAUCAUUCCAUCAAUGUUAUUGAACAUCUUACUAUGGGCCAGGUAGUAUGUUAGGUAUUGUACUUAUAAAAAUAAGUAAAAAUGACUACAAGGGUAAAAAGCUCACUUACCUUCUAAGCCCAAGUGGAUAACAAAACUGGUUGAGGUAGGGUUGCCAGAUACAAUAUAGGGUGCUUUAACUGAAUUGCAUGAGUUGCAUUGGACCUACUUACACUAAAAAGUAAAAAUAAAAUAGUUGUUUAUCUUUUCUGCACAUUUAAACAGGCUUCUUGCAUUCAUAUUUGCUAAAUGCAGCAACCCUAACUAGCUGGGAACUGGGGAGAGCUAGAAAGUACAUGCUUUAUCUAAAGGGAGCAGCUACUACCUCCCCUCCCCAACCCCUCUCAGGAAUCAUUGCCACAAGGCAUGCAACCCCAGUGAACUCAUUGAAAUUAUCAUGAUAUGCUGGAAAUCCAGAACUCUAGCUAAAAGCUCCCUAAUAUUAAAAGUUGUAAACUGAUUUGAAAAAAAUUUAAAGACUAUGUGGGCCAAAGGAAAAAAAAGAAAAUAAUGUCUGUGGAUUUUGAUGGUGUUUAAGCAACCUCCAAAAUAAGACUUCUCUUUCUCACCCGAAUGUGGAACCAGUUAAGCCACACAGGUUUCAGGCAGAUUAAGGUCAAAAUGUCAGCUUCGAUACUGAUGAUGUAACCAUAAAGGAUUUGGCUUAAGUGUACAACCAAAUAGGCUUGCUAGAAAGCUCCCGAAUUGAACUAACCAUCCUCCCCACAAAUCAAGCCCUUCACCCCAGCAAGGCAGAGCUAACCCUCCAGUCAAGAUAGUAAACUACAAUAUUCCCCUCCUUGCAGAUAACACAAGUGUGAAGAGAGGGGAGAGCAGCAAAGGCUGAGCUGCGUGUGCCUGGUCCCUUCCAGACUUUCCAGAUAACUUUGCCCCACGGAGGACAAGGAAAGCCAAAAGAGAGAAGCCAGGAUUGUUAGUCUUGGAAAAUGCCUCCAUAUAGAAACAUGAGCCGGAGAAUAAAUCACUUGCCUCUCUAACCAGUUGGAUUUGGUCCGUGAGUUCCUAGUUUUGUUCACCUGACUUAGUCCCUGACUUUUAAAGUCAAGUGCAUCAACAUGCUGCCAGUACUUUGAUGAACAUCUAUACAGGAUCCAUCUCUACAGCAGUGAAUUCCACCUGGGGUAAAGUAUGCAUGUAGGUUAGGAUGCUACAGUGGGACUCUGUCUGCUUUUUCUGUCUGUUUCUGCUAAGGCCUCCACACAUUAGAUGGUCAGUACUCUUUGUUCUAUGGGAAGGGCUAGAAUACCUAAACAGGACUUUCACGGAGGGAGCAACAAACCAGUUUUGUGGCUCUCAGCAAACAUCCAUCUCAAAGGUGAGUUUGGAAAUAAUGGAGAGUAUGUCAGUGUGUUUGUGUCUCAGGCCUACUUCCCACGCCUAUGGGGGAAGGGUGGGACUUAUCUCUCUCUUCCCUCAAGCCUGCUAAGAGGAGAUUAGACUAUAUUUGAGAUAAAUACCUCCAGCACAGUGACAGCCAUGCAGCUCAUGCCUGUGAAAUCAAAAGGCAAGAGGAUGCGGCUGGCUGGCUGCUCUGAGGGCAGAGAGAAAAGACCAGACAGCUCUUGGAACAGACUGUUCUUCCAGUGACGAUGGGGACAAAGAUGCAUGAGUGUAUCUCCAGGACUGGAUGUGAGCUGCAUGGGAGAAAAAGAGUGCAGGCCUGCAGCCCGGGAAAACCCAAAAGGAUGCCAUAAACCCAACAGGAAGAUGGGUUGUCAGGGCCCCAGGAGCUGAGAAAGGAAUAAAAAUGACAGAGAGAGAAAAGUACAUUGUCCACAUCAUAAAUAACACAGCUGAAUGUGCCCAAUGAGGUCCUCAGAGAACCCACAGAAGUGCCCAUGGGAACAGUUCUCUCUGGGACUCAAACCCAGGGAGAGGUGCUUUUAAACAUGCAAAGAGAGGGAACCAUCAUCAUAUUACAUUGCAGUGUCCACAUGAAUAAGACCCUAACUUACCUCAUAUUUCUCCUCCUUCCUCUGCUUUAAUCCAGGAGGAGCCAGAGACCUCUCAGUAAGUGAAGAAGAGGGGAAAUAGGUAAAAAGCCACUAUUCCCCAUGUUAGAUGAGGAAAUAGGAACAUUCUCCUCCUCUACCCAACACCCACUGUAGCUUUUAGUGGCUGGAGUCAGGAGAGAAAAGUUUUCAUGUUAAAUGAAUUUCAGAGGUUUGACUAUGACAUAGAAAUGGAUAUUUUAAUUACUGAAAUAAAACUGUUUUGUAAUUAGAGGUGACUGGAAGACAUUUUAUCCUCAGCAGAAGAAUAGAUAAGGAUAGGACCUUCCCUCCCCCUUGGACCCCACCAAGGUUUUAUCCAGAGGCAGAGGAAGAAGUAACCCUUUAUGUGAGUUUGAAUGGGCAGAAGAAGAAAAGGAUGAAGUUGUCUUCUAAUUGCACUCUAUGAAUGUUGCUUUUUUGUUAACAUAAAUGUCACAUAUAUUUUUAGCUGGUGUAACAAAAAAAAAAACAUCUCAAGCCGGCUUGCAUAAUAACAGCUUUGGGCACAGUCUGAUCAAGGCCCCGGUUCUGUUUGCUAGUGAUCCUCCUGAUUCUGCCCUCUCUCCAUGCUAGUUUCUUCCUCAGAUUGACAUUCCUCUUGGUCACCAGAUGCCUACAAUCAGCGGGUGCAACUCUCUGCUCCCUGCUCACUUCUGAAGGGGAGAGCAUGGAUACCAACCACAGAACAAAGCCCUGCAGUCUCCCGCUGAGUAGAACACCCACGAAGAAGUGUUGGCCAUUUCCCUAUUGCCAGGGAAAUAUCAUGUAUUGGUUGGAUUAGGCCUGUAUUAAUCCAGUUAAUGGAACAUAGUUAAACUAUCCCAGACCCUCCAUAGACACUAGAGAAAAGGUGAAUCCAACCCAAAUGUAAGACUGCUACUCAAUAGGACAGAAAAGGCAUGGAUGUCAGUGAAAUGGGAAAAAAAAUGUGUGCCAAAGGAGAUCAGGAAGGACUGAAUAGAAGACAUGGCCUUUGAAUUGAAGCCUUUAAUGAGGAAAGGGGAUUGACAUUGUAUGAGGGCCAGGGUGGAGAGCGGGUUGUGAAGAGGAUAGGGAAAAUGCAAGGACACUGCGGAUAUAAGAAUUAAUGGGAGAAUCAUGGGCCACAAAGCAGCAGGAUUAUAUUACAGAGAUUGUAAGUAGUGUUUAUUGAAGCACAGGGUACUGGGGAGGUGGAGGAAAGAUGAAACUGUUAAGGAAUUUAGACACAGCAUGUAGUGGUUGGCAGGAAACAGAUGACACUCUCAAACAGGGUAGUUGAGGAGAGCUAAUAAAGGGACCAUUUACCAAGGUGUAGUUAGGAUUAAGAGAAAGCAAACUGGGAUGGUGCUGUGCUAUGGGCUAGCAACAGCAGGAAGUCAUUUCUGUCCCUAGGUCUGAAGAGGGAAGCAGGGGAGCCAACACCAAGGAACCAGAGAUCUUAGAGUCUGAAAGUCUGCAUGAUAGAAGCCAUGGCCUUUAGUAGAGGGAUCUUGCCUACUCUUAGCAGCCUGGCUUGGAGGGGCCUGGGGAAAUAAUACCCCAACCUCUCUCCUCUUCUUCAAUAUUGAUGACUUCCAUUGGUUAAUAUCAAACUGGAAGUUGGAGAGAAAGGGAGUCUAUCUAUACAAGUCAGCACCCUGUAGCCCAGAAGAGAGUAAAAAGGGGGUAAAAAGCAAUUUCCGAGGGACAAACAGAAAACACCCAGCACAGAAGGAGGAACAAACAUUUGGAGGAACAAACAGAAAAUAUCAGAAAACAUUUUAAUCCUGGGUCCUGGGACGUCAUGGAAGGUUUUGAAGUUAGGAGCACCGCCAUCCUCUAGGGGGAGCUCAAGCAUUUCUCUCCACUCAUCCCAAAGGCGGUGCAUCAAAAGAUCAGGGUGAAACUGACUUCAAGGAAAGAGCCCUCGGCUAGAGGAAGAAGCCUGGAGAAGUAAAGGGAUUGCUCCUGGAAUUGGAAAUCUACCCUUUGCACUUCUAUUUACUGCAUUUGGAUUGAUUUGCAAGAAUAACCAUUAAAAUAAUCAAAGCUAAAAGUAAGUAUGUACUGUGUGCCAAGUUCUUGACUCAUUUGGCACAACUCUUCGGAGGUAAGCACCAUUGAAAUUCUCACCUUCUAGAUUAAGAGGCUGAUAGAACCUGGAUUUGAGCCCAUUGACAAAGGACCACUCUCUGCUCUGUUCUGUUCUCAUGCUGCUGGUUUAGUCAGCUGAGUCAAAGGUUGCCUUUGCUUAGAAGGCCUAACAAAACCAGAGCAGGGUCCAUGGAAAAGGAGACAUGAAAAGGGACAUAUUUCCUGGUAAGAUUUGUAUUCAUUUAACAAUUUUAAGCACAUAUUUAAUAACCAGGCACUCACUACCUGACAAGCUCUGAGCCAGGUGCAGGGUAUCCGAGGGAACUAGGAGAGAGGCACUAAGUGCUGUACUAAGAACCUGAAUGAGUGCAUUUGAGUCCUGGGUCUGCUACAUGUGUGACCUAGGAAAAGUCACUUAAAUCAUUUAACUGUCUCCUCAUCUUUAACAUAUAGAUGGUUAAAAAGUACACAGCACUUGGAAUAAUAAACGGGCAGAUUGUUAAUGUUGAAGGUGUGAGCUGCUGUUCUUACAACACAAUGUCAGCCCUUGAAGCUCUUACAGUAGAUGGAAAGAUGGAGAUGAGUAGGAUCUAAUUAUUGGCCAAGUGCAAAGGAGCUAAAAAGGCCACCCACGCUGCUACUUACUUCAGCAAUACCCAAGGAAACAAGGGCAAAAAAAGAGCUCUAGAGGCUCUUCUUGGUCUAGCCCUGCUUUUGAGUUUGGGGCCAAAGCUCUAAUUCACUCUAAUUCAGGGGUGUUAGCAAGGUUCUUGUCUGGCAUUCUAGCUCUGAACAGUUGAUACCAGCUUCCUGAACCAUGUGUUAAGAGAGAUCUCAGACUGCAUGUAGAGAACGUAUGCCUUGAGAGAUAAGUGAUGUCUGCCAUUGAUUGAGGGUGGAGAGGAGGAGCCAAGUGGUUCUAGAACAGUGUCCUUUUGCCUAGAAUGUCCCUACAGCAGGAGCAGCUGGGCAAGACUCAGAAGUCCUGAUUAUAAUCACAGAUUAAGGUGACCAACUAUCCCAGUUUGCCUAGGACUGUUCCAGUUUUAGAACUGAAAUUCCUGCAACCCAGAAAACCUCUCAAUCUUGGGCACAUCCCAAUCAGCUUUGCAGGCUUUCUCUAUCUGACAAUACCAAAAAAAAACAACAACUAUGAGCUCUGACUAGAAGAGAUUACUCUUUUUGUCUUGGCCAAUUUCAGCCUGUGAAAAUGCAUCUUAUUCUGGCCUGUAUGUGCCAGCCAUAUGCCCUCAAAUGUUCCCCCACUUCACAAUAGCUGACCUCCAUACCUCUCUCCUUUCUCAGCUAUUUUUCCUGCUGUAUCCACUGACGCCUUAGUAGGAAACAGAUGGCACCAUCAAAGGGUUUAGCUGAAGAGAAUUUCAUACAGGGAUUAUUUACAGAGGCGUGGGCAGGGUUAAUGGAACCAACAAGAGCUGGGGAGACAGUCAGGGAUUAGCUCUUACCACAGGAGGUCUGCAGGGACAAAGGGAGGGGAUGCUGUUACCAGCCUGGUAAGAGCUGAAACUGUGCAGGAGAGGUCACUGGGCCUGGGAGCUGGAGCCUCUGUCUCAUCUGCGGUGUGGCAGAGAGGAAAGAGGAGGAGGGCAUAAAAAUCCCUGGCCCGGCUCUCCUCCUGCCCUCUGGCCUCUUGCCAGUAGUUUCUUGCCAGAGUGCAAGGAAAAGCAAAUGAAACAACAGGUCUAGUAGAGGGCAGCCUCCCAGGCCGCAGAGCGUGACAGGAAAAGGCAGAGAACAGAUCUAAGAAUAACCAUCCCAGGCCACCCUAUUGUCACUCAGCUUCCAUUCUAACACUUUACUUAGCCAAAGAAACUCAGGUCCUCAACACAGGGAAAACAUAGUCUCAUCAGCUACUGUAUCACUGAGUGAUGAUGUAUUUCAGUCAUAUUACUUCCUGGACCCUAAACUGUAACUUUAGUCACCACCAGGAUGCAAGGCAGCAAAGAAAGGUAAAAAAAUAAAUAACUAUCAUACUACAGCUCCACAUCUAAGCAUUUCUAAUCUAAUAAUCCUGACUUCCUCCUCCCAGCACUCGUUCCAUAAUUCUUUACCCUCACCUAGCAUCUUGACAGUUAAGGUGUCUUACUUGAUGGGGUGAGCCAAACCUUCCUUGCCACAGGAUCCGGGUGGUUCCAUCUUUGUUGAGUUGCUGCCGUUUCUCAUUGGCCAUUACUACUGGACAUGGGAGUGCAAUGAAUCCCAUGGGCUCUAGAUACAGUGUUGUUUCCAUGUGAUAGCAAAAAUCCCAAUUUCUCCUUGAUAAUCAAAAUUAAUCAUACCAGUCCAUACAAACAGCCAAUGCUCUGCCUUUGAUCAGUGUUGUGAACAACCUGAAAUGUUGAAGGGGCAUUCUCAGUGUUUCCUAGUAGAAAUAUAUCUCCCCCUUGGGCACAAGAACCUCACGCCCAUUAGAUGCAAUGUUUUAGGGACAAGAAGACAGUAUUAUUGAAGUGGGUUAUUACUCAUCCUGAGUUCCCAGAGCCAUGUAUUCAACACCAUGUAUCAACCACUGAUCUGACCACUUAUAGGACAGCACCCCAACUUCACAAGAUGUUGUCUCCCAGCAGGCUCCAUAAAUGAGCCUUCGAUAGGACAUUUCAUCAUUCCAUCAAUCUAGCUGCUUCCAGGUAAGAACAAUGAAUUCUACGAUGUGAGCGUAAUACCACAGCUGUUUCACUGUAAAUGAGUUCCUUGAUCAGUGACAAUGCUGUGUGUGACACCAUGGGGAUGAAUAAGGCAGCCUAUCAACCACAUAUGGUAGUGCUGGCGGAAGCAACAUGCACAGGAAAGGGAAGUUACUCUCCAGUAUAUGUAAUUAUUCCCAUGAAGACAAAUUCCUGCCCCUUCCAUAAUGUAGUGGUCUGAUAUUAUCAACCUGGGUGGCUGAUACUUCCAAGAAAUAGUGCCAAAUAAGGGUUCAGUGUUGCCUUCCGUUUUAGAAAUCUGGGCACUCAGCAGUGACAGUGGCAGAUCAGCUGUGAUGUGAGGAAGUCCAUGUUUAUUUAUUUCAUUGCCUCUGUUCCUAUUCCCAUGGCCACUUUGUACAUGAGACAUUUACCCAAGCACAAACAUGGCCAGUGUCUUAGCAUGCUCAACUGCUUUAACAAAACGCCGUAAACUGGGUUGUUUAUAAACAGCAGAAAUUUAUUUCUCACAAUUUUGGAGGCUGGGAAGUUCAAGAUCAAGGUUCUAGCAGACUCUGCGUCUGGUGAGAGCCUAUUUCCUGGUUCACAGAGGGCCACCUUCUGUGUCUUCAUAUGGUGGAAAGGGCUAUGCAGCUCUCUGGGAUUUCUUUUAUAAGGGCACUAAUCCCAUUCAUAAGGGCACUUAACUUCCCUGGGGACUUAACCUCCCAGUGGCCUCACUUCCUAAUACCAUUCACAUUGGUGAUUAGGUUUCCACAUAUGAGUUUUGAAGGGACACAAAUAUUUAGACCAUAGCAGCCAGGGAAGGAGGCUCACUACAACCAAGGGAUAGGUCAUCUUGGCCACCUCCUCAUUUAGCUUUCUGUGAGGUAGAUGUCCUCUGGGGGAACAUUUAUAUGCUAUUCAAAUAGCCUCAAAGACUAGCCAUUUUUAGAGGUCCAUUAUAUAACUUCCCUUUAGGUGAUCUUGGCACCAACCUUCCAGGUCCCUGAUAAUUUGACCAACCCAUUAGCCCCUGCCUGUGUAUUUCAGGAAACCUCAGCUUAUCCCUUCUUUCAUGUCAGUGGCCAACCAGAUGUACUUCCUGAAGUUCUGUCUAUGGGAAGAUUUUCCUAUGGCUUGCAGAGCCACCCCAGACAGAUAAUUCUUAAACCAGACCAGGCCACUGUCACCCUCUUUUCUCAUCAAAGGGUCAUAGGGAAUACCCGGGGAGACCAGAGGUACGGUUUGAGGGAAAGGCGGGAAGCAGUAAGAAGUCUGACUCAUCAGCUUUUGCAGAGAAGAGAAGUGCUGAGAAUAGAUCUGAGGGUGUGAGGGGAUAAAGAAUAACAGCUCACCCACGUCUGUGCAGUUCUUUACCCUAAAGUUUAAGUGAAAUGAUUCUUCAUCAAGCUUCUUCUCACUUGAUUUAAGAAAAUCCUUAGAGAUAUAACAGCAUCAAUAUUGCAAACCAAUAAGGAAACAAAGCAAUAGCUUAGCCCUUGACAUAUAUUUCUGAUAAGUAAUGUAUUUCAUGGUCUUUCCUAAAUGUACAUGAGGUAGAAGUAGAUAUAUCCAAUGUCUAUACUUAAUUGAUUUUUGCCAGAAAGUCUAUCUUGAAAUGUGAGCUUCUGAUAAAUUCCUUCUAUUUGUGCUUUUUUAGAACAAGUUCCAUUUUUAUGUUGUCUUUGUCAGUGACGGAGGAAAUCAGAUCAAUUUUUUAAAGUCAGUUUUUUAUAUAAGCAUUACUGAAACUAUUGAAAUCUGAAUAUGGUGUUUUUAAAAUAAACUGUGUUAAACUAAUUUGUAAUAUCAGAAGUCAGGAAGGGAAGCAUGAGGGGGCAUCUAGGGGCUGGUAAUGUUGUGUUUCCUCCUGUGGGUAUUGGUUACCUGAGUUAAUUUUUUUUUGUGAAAUUACAACAAGCUGUGCACUUAUGAAAGUUGUACUUUUCUAUACAUGUAUUCUUAUUCAAUAAAAAGAAAAAAAUGAAAGGUGCUCCAUAUAAUGAUGACCUUUUGGCAAACAUUUCCAUGAAAUAGAAACUAGAUGAAAAAAUUUUAUGAAAUGCUGCGUAAUUAGUGGAUUCUUCUGGCUAAACAGCCCAUCAAAAACACUUACUAAAGACCUAGAAUUAUUAAAGACCUAAGAAUGCAAUGACUUGCAUUAGAUAUAGCUGAUAGGCCAGUGAGAAGGACAACAUAUCACAGAUUAAUCAAUUCAUUCACAAAACGAAAACACUGAACACUUACUAUGUGUCAGACACUAGUCUAUAUGCUUGAGGUUCCAUGAGUAAGUAAAUCAUUCCAUGUCCUUGUGGAACUGAUGCCUAGUGAGGGGAGACAGCCAGCCAAUUAACAAUAAACAAUGAGUAAAUUACAUGAUAUGUUAGAUUGAUAAGGGAUGCUUAAGAAAAAGAGCAGAGUGAGUAAGCAUUGUGGGGAAGUUUGCAGUUUUAAAUAGGCUGUUCAGAUCGGCAUCACUAAGAAGGUGAUAUUUAUGCAAAGGUAUAAAGGAGAAGAUAUUGGCCAUAUGGGUAGCUGGGGAAGAGAAUCCAGGCAGAGGGAAUAGUGAGGCAGGAGAGAACCUGACAAGUUCAAGGCAAAAAAGCCAGUGUGAUUAAGACAAAGUGAGAAAAAAGAAAAGGAGUUGAUGUGAGGCCCGGGAAUCAAUGUGGGGAAGGAGAAUUCCAGGCUGCUGCAAGAUUUCCAUUUUCACUUUCAAUGAAAUGGGGCACCAUUGCAGGAAUUGGGCCAGAGAGUGGCAUAAGCUGACAAAUUUUGAAAGUAUCUUGCAGCUGUUUUGAGUAGAGGCUGAAGAGGAGAAAUAAUCCAGGUGAAAAAUGAUGGUAGCUUGGACUAGACUGAUAGCAGUGGACAUGUAAAUAAUGGUCAGAGUUUGAGUAUAUUUUGAACAUUGACCCAACAGGAUUUGUUGAAGGACUGGAUACGAGAUUUGAGGAAAGAGAAAAGUCACAUUUGAUUUUGAGGUCUUGAUCCUGAACAAGGAUGAAGCUGUCAUUGACUCAGCUUCAGAUCAGGGAGACUGUGGGCAUAGGAGGAUUGGAGAGGAAGAUUAGAAAUUCAGUGUUGGGCACAUUAGGUUUGAAAUGUGUAUCAGACAGUCUAAUAGAGAGGACAAGUAGGGAGUUAAGUAGAAGAGUUUAGAGUUUAGGAUGAAUGUAUGAAUACAAAUGUAAAUUUCACAUUAAUAGCCAUAGAGAUUAUAUUUAUAAGACUAGAUAAUAUAACACAGAAGAGAGUACAUAAUAGAGACAAGAACCAAAGACUAAGGCCUGGAGCACUACCAGAGAAGCACCCAAUAAUAUAGAAAGAAAGAACAGCCAGUUCCAUCCCAGAGUAUUUCAAGUCUGCAACAGGACUAGUUGACUUAACACCACUUGCCACUGUAAUAAUUACUUCCCAGGAAAAUAAGUCCAAGGAUAUUUUUCCAGUUUCUAUGCCAAGCCAUGAUAAUGAUUAAUUGCACAGUACCUGGCACAUGGUAAGAGCUUCCUAAUUAUUACAAGUUGUUGAAUGAAUUAUUUCAGGGCUCUGGGAAUAAGCCAAAAUCUCUUGAGACUUGAGCCUUUAUUAGAGAGACCUGAUAUAUGAGACACAUUUAGGGCCUUUCCCUUUUGGGCUCUCCAGGAAUAUUGAGGACCAGAUAUAUCAAGGUGAUCCAACCUGAAACUAAACUGGAAGCCAGCAGGCUGCUCCAUGCAAAUCAUCUGUGUUUCCUUCCUAAUCAAUUCUAUCUGUUGUUUUUUUUUUUUUUCCUUGAACAUCUAUCCUUCUGCCUCAGAGCCUUUGGACUUGCUGUUCUCUUAGUCUGGAUCAUCUACUCCUUUGAAUAGCUCAUUGUCUCUCUUUACUGAAGUUUCAGUUUAAAUUCACCUCUUCAGAGAAGCCUACGACUACUGUUGAUCACUAGUGAUCAUUGUUUGGCCUCAGCCUACACUAGUCUCUUCCACUUAUCUUUCUCUUUAUACCACUUACUACUGCCUGCCAUGGUAUUAUAUUUAUUUGGUUGGUUGGUUAUCCUCUGAUUCUCCCACUAAAAGGCAGUCUCCCUGAGACAGGGAUUUAUUUUGUUCUUCUUCCAUCCGCAAUAUGUAGAUCUAGAACAAAGCCUCGCCACUAGCAGGAAACUUGAUAAAUGUUGGUUUAUGAAUGAAUCCACUCUCUCAGAUCUGUUCCAGAUACCACUGGACCAGUUAAAAAUUAUAUGGAUUUCCCACCAUGUGGAAAGAUUAUUAUUCAGCAUAAGUAAAAGUGAAGAACACGUGAUCCCAAACCCACAAAAGCCUGCAAUCCGGUUGCUCUAGGUUAGACUGUUAGGCUGAUAGCAGUUUACUUCCCAUAAUUCUAUUUCCUGCCAGGCUCCCGAGAGGAGAGACAGUGCUUUGGGUGAAGAACAACACUCAUUUUAGCAGAGGUUCCAUGGUGUUUUCCAUGAGAGUCAUCUCUGGGCAAACAAUGUAAGCUUCAAAGUAAAUUUAGUUUCUCAUCUGGGAUGAAUAACUUGUAAUUGUGUCUUAUAAAUUGUACCCAGCAAUCCUUUUCUCACCCCUAGCCCUUGAAGAUUGGAGGAAAUGGUGUUUCUGACUACACCAGUAACAGGAUGGGAGCUUAUUUUAAAGACACUUGUAGGAAAGGCUUUGGAGAAAAACUAGCUUAUCGGGAGACUCCUAAUUCAGGAUCUUAUAUCCUUGAUUAAACUCUGACUUUUACAAUUUCCCAAAGUACACACACACACACACGCACACCAGAAUUAACUGAUUCAGAAUGAAACCAGCUAACACAGUGGCGCAUUGUGUAGAGGUUGAUCUCUAUUGUGACCUAACUCCAUGGACUACAUGGAGUUAUAAGAACCAAAACUAGGUAUUUGUGUGACCAAAAGAUAAGGAAAUUAAGAAUACCUAAGGCUAUUAAAGGAAAAAAAAUAAGAAGGUAAGCAAUAAGAAAAGCUUUCAGAGUCUCACAGCUCAGUCCUCUGUUAGGAGGUAAAAGUUUUAUUUCUGUCUCAAGCGUAGGCUUAGGCAAACCCAAGUCUUGCUCUUUGUGGUGGGCUUAUGAGCAGGGUGAAUGGAAAAAGGGAAAUUCCUGGCAAGCUCUGGCUUGGAGAUGGUACAAAAAAACCUCAGUAAGUAUAGUGUAUUUCCUUCUUUCCUGAAUCCAUACUAACUUGCCCAGUAAAACUUUCUUUAGUCCUUUACUGAUUCCAAGACUUAUUUUAAUUUUUGCCUUUCAAUUCUUAUUUCCUUUCCCACAGAUGGUACUGGCUAAAACAGAAGCCUGUAAAAGUAAAGCUUAAAAGACGUUCUUUCCUUUUUUUGGCUUUAAAAUGUUUCACAUGACUACAUGAUAGUCCCACCUCAUCCACCCACACUUACAUUUUUCCUCUUCCUAGCAUUAAUAGGUCUAAACAUGCAGUUAGGCAGGAAAUUUAGAAUAAGAAACUUUAUUAUUUUCUUGCCUCUUAGAGGAGUUUUCAAAAAAAUAUUGGAGGGGUUCUGAUUCCAGGUACAACGGAGUAAGUGUACUCACACCACCCUGUUCCUCCCACUGAAUGCGGCUAAAAAACCUGGGCAGAAUAAGUGGAGCAUCUGAGGACUCUGAAAAGUAAAUAAUAGCAGGCAGAUUGGAGAUGAAGACCAAAAUGCAAACCUUUCAUUGGAGAACAGUCUUCCCCCACACCAUCCCAUAGAAAUACUGUUCACUAUAUCUGGUUCAGGAGGACUGACUCUCCCAACUCCUUUCUCCAGGAGUGGAUACAUGAUCCAGGACUGGCCAGAAUUCUACAUCAAGCCCGUAGGCACGGAGGAGAAUACAAAUUAGAGGAUCAGCCAGCAAACUUGAUGGGUGAUGAGAACUGUUCAAGACAACCCUGAAGAUGUUGCUUAUUUGAUAAGGUUGCUGGUGCUGCUGCUACUGAAGAUAGAACAACAGUUAAGCUUUCUGUGUAUGUGUGUGUUUUCCAUCUGUUUUUCUUUGUAAUCAGUCGGUAUAAAAGUGAGCAGUGAAGAAUCGGGGGGAAAUAAAUGUACUUUUUAAACAUGUUAAAUUUGGAAAAUAUCUAGAGCUCAGAAGAAAAGUGUAAACUUAAGUUAGAGAUUUGAGAGUUAGUGAAGCUCUAAGAGGGGCAGAGUGUAAAGGUGAGGGCAACAAGUAUAUGUGCACACACAAUCACACACAUACACCGGUGGCAGGCAAAGAAAGAUUAAAUCCCUUCUUAGCAAAACUUCAAUUCUGAGAAGAUUUUUCCUAUCUGAAUUUGUUGAACAAUAUUAGAGAUUUUUUUUUUCUAACCACUUCAUAAAUAAUAAAACUGAGCAACAGAGAGGAUGGGUGGCUGACUUGUUAAGGAACUCCUAAUUAGUGCUAAAGAGUCUUAAAACCUAGGUUUCUGGGCUCCCAAUUCCAGGUUCCUUGGAAGUCAAGAGAAGACAAAAACAUACGAUCAUUUACUUUAUCCCUAACUUCACUUGAAUAAAACAUUCCAUAAGAUUAAGGUUAAUGCUUCCUUUGUCUGACACAUCUAUUUAAGCCAUAUGUCUGGUUAGUUUCAGCACGUUACUAGGCCAGUUCAGCAAUGCUCGAAAGCAAUUCAAUUUUCAAAGAACAGUUCUCGAGAUACAUACAAUAAAGCUCAGAUUAACCAGGAAUCAUCGAACCAGAGUUGUUUUACUUUCUACUUAUAAAGAACAUAAGAAAGCACUCUUGAUCUAAGGCAUGACACUGAGCUGGCUCACACCUGCUCUGAUCUUUAUUACUUUCUGUAUGUAAAAUUCUCACAGUACAGUAACUGUGAGGAAAAUAAUAAUUUUGUGCACAAUACUUUAGGUAGGAAGGAAACUAUAUUAAUAAUAAUUCAAUUUAAGUAGAAAUAUAAGUAAACUUAAUUACAGGCUUUUGAAAAUCCAAGCCUAUUUAUUUUAUCCAGUUUUAAAAUUCAAUUCCUAUUUAUUAACUAUUUAAACCUACUCUGUGGAGCAUACUUAUACCCCUCGAAAUUAUCAGAAUUAAGAAAAAUUCAGUAAUUCCUGUGUCAAAAAUAUUCUGUAAAAGUAAACUGUUCAACAGAGAAAAAAAAAAACAAAAAUACUGCAUGAAGCACAUAUGGUAAACAAAAAAACUGAAGUGAUUAUCAUAAUCAUGAAUUUUAAGAAACUGAAAAUGAUUAUCAAGGUAAACAAUAUAUGAAAUAUAACAAAUCCAAACAAGAUCAUGUACCUACAAAACCAAUUUUUCUAAAUACCAUCCUAACUUUUAAUAGCAGAAAAUAACAUUGUUUACUGCCUAAAACAUUGUACAGAAGAGAGAGCUCUAAAAUACUAAUCACAAGCCAAUAAAUCUUACCUUCUACAACAAAUUGCCCACUUCUGAAAUUUGUUUUCAUUACUACUUUUCUAUGUGCACUAACUUAAAGAAUUGCAAUGGUACAGUAAAAGAUACUUUGCAACUAGAAACAAAAUUCUAGAUUGUUUUCCAAAGUUGGGUACUUGCAUAUUAAAUUUUCUCAAAAGGAGACCCACCUGUGUAAUGUUCUUAUCUAUCUGGAACAGGGGUUGGUAAACUUUUUCUGUGAAGUGCCAGACAGUAAAAUAUUUUAGGUUUUGUGAAUUAUACAGUCUGUCAUAAUUAUACAACUCUGCCCUUACAGUGAAAAAUCUGCCACAGGUAUUACUUAAAUGAAUGGGCAACGCUGCAUUCCAGUAACAACUUAUUUCCAAAAAUAGACAACAGGCUAGAUUUGGCCCAUAAGCUGUAGUUUGCUGAUCCUUCAC
RNAcentral lists this long non-coding RNA (27138 nucleotides) under Homo sapiens (human). RNAcentral's name for it is "HSALNT0369598". The stretch from base 5971 to 6118 matches the Rfam family "Metazoan signal recognition particle RNA". Lineage: Eukaryota; Metazoa; Chordata; Mammalia; Primates; Hominidae. The record is from RNAcentral.